This 87-nucleotide transfer RNA is filed under the name Candidatus Vogelbacteria bacterium RIFOXYD1_FULL_44_32. RNAcentral describes it as "tRNA-Ser". It matches the Rfam family "tRNA". From Rfam's summary of the family: Transfer RNA (tRNA) molecules are approximately 80 nucleotides in length. Their secondary structure includes four short double-helical elements and three loops (D, anti-codon, and T loops). Further hydrogen bonds mediate the characteristic L-shaped molecular structure. tRNAs have two regions of fundamental functional importance: the anti-codon, which is responsible for specific mRNA codon recognition, and the 3' end, to which the tRNAs corresponding amino acid is attached (by aminoacyl-tRNA synthetases). tRNAs cope with the degeneracy of the genetic code in two manners: having more than one tRNA (with a specific anti-codon) for a particular amino acid; and 'wobble' base-pairing, i.e. permitting non-standard base-pairing at the 3rd anti-codon position. Lineage: Bacteria; Candidatus Vogeliibacteriota. The record is from RNAcentral.
GGAGGCGUCGCAUAGUGGUCUAGUGCGCACGCUUGGAAAGCGUGUAAGGGGGCAACCCCUUCGAGGGUUCAAAUCCCUCCGCCUCCG